CAGCCACACUAGGACUGAGAUACGGCCUAGACUCCUACGGGAGGCAGCAGUAGGGAAUAUUGGACAAUGGGGGAAACCCUGAUCCAGCGAUGCCGCGUGAAUGAUGAAGGCUUUAGGGUCGUAAAAUUCUUUUAGUAGGGACGAUGAUGACGGUACCUACUGAAUAAGUACCGGCAAACUUCGUGCCAGCAGCCGCGGUAAUACGAAGGGUGCAAGCGUUGUUCGGAAUUAUUGGGCGUAAAGGGCGCGUAGGCGGGCUCUUAAGUUGGUUGUUAAAUUCCGGAGCUUAACUCCGUGAGUGCAUUCAAUACUGAGAGCCUAGAGUUUGGAAGAGGAAAGCGGAAUUCCUAGUGUAGAGGUGAAAUUCGUAGAUAUUGGGAGGAACGCCAAUGGCGGAAGCAGCUUUCUGGUACAUAACUGACGCUGAGGCGCGAAAGCGUGGGGAGCAAACAGGAUUAGAUACCCUGGUAGUCCACGCCCUAAACGAUGAUCGCUAAGUAUCGGA
RNAcentral lists this ribosomal RNA (505 nucleotides) under uncultured bacterium. Its description in RNAcentral is "bacterial SSU rRNA". It matches the Rfam family "Bacterial small subunit ribosomal RNA", at positions 305 to 827 of the family's 1533-position model. The record is from RNAcentral.